This 2735-nucleotide long non-coding RNA is filed under the name Cottoperca gobio. Its description in RNAcentral is "lncRNA (ENSCGOG00000011260.1)". The record is from RNAcentral. Lineage: Eukaryota; Metazoa; Chordata; Actinopteri; Perciformes; Bovichtidae.
GGAGGCUUUUACAUAUUAAUUAUGCCAUUAUUAUUAUUAUUAUUAUUAUUAUUAUUAUUAUUAUUAUUAUUAUUAUUAUUAUUAAGGUUGGGCGGAUUGAUUAUCAAAGUAUUGAUACUACCGAUACUAAAUCUUGUUUUGAGGAUCAAUUUUAAAUUUUAAUUUUAAUUCACUCACCUUACUCACAUAUUUCUCUUACAUACAAGUACAUUAGUAGCUGUUAACAUAAAAAAAAUACUGUAUUGAUAUCAGUGAUUCUAACAUACUUGGAUCAAAACCAAAUCGCCCACACCGACCUGUGUGUAUGAAAUUGUCAUAUCUCACUGGUAAAGACUGCAAAGUAGCAGAAUGUCUCAUGUGAACUCAUAACAGAGUUGAUAACAUAACAUAACAUAACAUAUGUUAUCAACUCUGUUAUGAGUUCACAUGAGAAACACCUGCCUGGACUUCCGUCAGCAGAGCUUUGGACUUGGUUCACGGUCCGCGGGAUUUGGACCGGAGUGAGCGCUCUUCGUUUUCUGCUCGUCUCGGACCUCCAACGAUCUCAUCUCUCAUUCAGUCAAUGAAACAGAACCGCCUCUCUGGCAGUUGCCAUGACAACGGAGAAACGAUCCCGGCACAUUCCCUGAUGUCUCAGCUGCGGUUCCCUGGCAACAGCUACACAAAUCCAGGAAAACUUCCGGAAAAGACCCUCGCUCGUCUUUCUGCUCGCCCGAACGUGGAAUAACUGCAGGACUUACUUUUCAGGAUUCUUGGACAAUAUAUUUGAAAUAAAACAAACAUGACGACUUCUUCCCUUCCUGUCUUAGAGAGCAGCGACCCUCGUCUAAAACUGACGGUGGAAAACAGAAUAAGAAACAUUUUUGUAACACAAUCGCAGGACACCAGUAAAAGAAAGGAAGAAAAUGUCAACCACAUACCUGUUGUGACGGAGACUCCAAGCAGAGUCCUUGAGGCAGGAGUGAACACUUUGCAAAAGACCCUGGUUCUGAAGAAACAGGCUGAGUUGGACGAGGUGGACCAGCAACUCACACUCAAACGACGAGAGUUCAAGAACUGUGUGGAGACUCUAGCUCGGAGAAGGUCUGAACUGGAAAUAAGACAACAUCAGACUGAAGAGAGGGCGAUUAAGUUUGAGAAGUUUGUGGCUGAAAAUGAAGCAAAGCGACACCGAGCGCUGACGACAUAUGAGGCUGCACGGGAGCUGAACAUUUCGAAACAGAGAGGGAUAGAAGAUCUGACAGAACAGUUGAAACAACUUAGAGCUAGACAUGAAGUUUUAAAGGAGAGAAUGGCAAAAUACAAAAUCUAUGAGGACUACUUGAUGAAAACGCUAGAUUAUCUCCCCAACAUUUACCUUGAUAAUGGGUCUGAAUCUUUGGUGAUGCCCAUCAUUCGGCGCCACGAGACCCUGUCCAUCACCCACCGGGAGCUGCUGCAGCGUCUGGGGCGUCUGGAGGAGGAGGUGGAGCAGGGCCAGCGACACCUGCCGAUCAUGAAGCAGGACCACAGUAUUAAAAAAUUGAUGGCCAAUAAGGAACUUUCGGAACUCCAGAGUGAGUUAGAAACCCUCAAAGAGAAGAACAAGAAGGCAGAGGUUAACCUGCUGAUGGAGCAAGGCCUGUGCAGAGAGAAGGUUAAGGAAGUGGGUUGCUUGCUUAUGGCCAUCAACAACCUUGCAGAGCAGUGUUAUCUAGCAGCAUAUGGACCUCUGGAAAACAUGAACAUGCUGACAAUGAUGGACAUGGUGAAGGAGUACAUCCUCGACAAGGCAGACACAGAGAGGAGAGUGAGGAGACUGAUGGAGUCGGGGUCUGCCAUGACAAGUAAAACAGCUCUGACAGAAAAGAGAGAGAAGGGGUCAAUGAAAAGCAUCGGCAGUAAAACACAAAUCAAAAGUUCAAGUAAAGUCAGUAGAAAGAGUGAGACAAUGAGUUGAUGCUUAACUUUUACAUUAACAUGGUGUCACUGCUUACAAUACUCUAAGUUUGUUGAGUGUGAAAGUUCAGUUUUUACCUUGGAAACAGUAGUUUGACAAAACAAAAUGAAAACAAUUUGACGAGCAUAAAAACCAAGAAAACUACAUCCCAUGAUGAAGAAUGUGAGAAAAGGUUUAAAGAUCUAUAAGUGGGUUAACUCUUCAAUUCUUCUGUAACAGAUGUUCAGUGUUCAAAACUGUUAAUGCACUCAAUUUUGCACUUCAAAUGUUAUAUUGUACAUUUCUUUUUUAAAUAAGGUGAUCACGUGUAUUCGAGCUUCAGAACUUUGUAAAUGUUUGUCUCUGGAAUGUAAUGAUCAAAUAAUGUCAGACAGUGAUACCCAUCAAAAUGGCAUAUGCAGUUGUAUGUAUGCAAUUUCUAACAUAUUUAGAUUAUACAAACAGCAAUGAGAAAAUAAGUAUUUUAAUGAUGCAGAAUAAGAUUUAUUUGUGAUAUUCUGCAUGCACAAGGUAAAUUUCCCAGUUGUGGGGCGAAUAAAGGAUUUCUUAUUCUGAUUCUGAUCUAUCAAUAAAUACAGUAAAUAUAAUGCAGCAGAUGCAAUCUGAGUUUUCUGUUGUAAAUCCUACAUAAACAUACACACAUACACACACCUGCAGGACCAAAUGUUGCAACCAUUUACAUGUUCUGUAUUUACCACAAAAUGUGUGCUUGUACAAGUUAAUGCUAGAUUCUGGCCUGCUCCAUGUCGUCAGACACUGACAUACAGGUUUUCUUACAGCCUUCUUGUGCAGACAG